Molecule: ribosomal RNA, 451 nt
Filed under: uncultured bacterium
Lineage: Bacteria
Description: partial 16S ribosomal RNA
Rfam family: Bacterial small subunit ribosomal RNA
Source: RNAcentral
GAUGAAUGCUGGCGGCGUGCCUAACACAUGCAAGUCGAGCGGCAGCGAGCGGUUCUUGCGCCCUGUCGGCGAGCGGCGCACGUCUGAGUAACGCGUAUGAAUUUGCCCCAACGUUAGGAAUAACUCCCCGAAAGGGUACCUAAUGCCGCUUAUGGUCUUCGGUGUAUAGGAUGUAUACGCUUUUGAAGAGGCUUGCGUGGGAUUUGGUUGUUGGUAGGGUAAUGGCAUAGCUAGCCGACGAUCCAUAGCUGGUCGGAGAGGCUGCUCAGCCAGAAUGGAACUGCGGCACGGUCCAGAAUGCUACGCGAGGGAGCAGUGAGGAAUCUUACACAAUGGGCGAAAGCCUGAUGGAGCAACGCCGCGUGAAGGAUGAAGGCCUUCGGGUUGUAAACUUCUUUUAUGAGUGAAGAAUAUGACGGUAACUAAUGAAUAAGCACCGGCUAACUACGUG